RNAcentral lists this long non-coding RNA (3308 nucleotides) under Salmo salar (Atlantic salmon). RNAcentral describes it as "lncRNA (ENSSSAG00000091307.1)". Lineage: Eukaryota; Metazoa; Chordata; Actinopteri; Salmoniformes; Salmonidae. The record is from RNAcentral.
GUCUGUGUUUGGGAUUAUGCUACUCUGUUACUGUGGUUACAGUGUGGAGGGCACUCAUUAAAUUCGAUAUAAAAGCGCCUCUCGGAAAAUAGGGCAGUAGGACACAACCUCAUUUUCUAUAGUACACAACAAUUACUGGUCAAUCCCCAAGUUUAAUUUGAAUGUAUUGAUAUAUAGCUAAAGAGUUUAUAGCUGCUAUUCAGGUAAAGUAUUUGGAGGACCACAGUUAAUGAUUUGCAUUUAUACAGCUUUAUUGAAGAAUAUUGUUUGUGAAUGUAAAAUCGCAAGUCGGGCAAUCUGCAAGGCCAGUCUCUCUCUACUUGGAACUGUGAGAUGGGUGCAGGGAUUCGGAUAUCCUGAUCUCUCUCCAGUCUCUUCUCACACACAAUCAGGUAUUUAACCCCUUCAAUCACAUUCUGAACCAGCUGGACCUACAUACAACACGCAAACACACAUAACCUAUUCUUUCUCCACUCUCUACAACUGCCUAUUAAAGCUGAAUAUUAUGAUUGUCACUGUCACUGCAUUCUAUUCUGUGGUGUAGUGAUGCAGUGUCUUACCUCUGACUCACCCAGUCUGGCCAGGUUAGAGAUGUCAGAGGUUGUGCCACAGUUGCGGAGUCCACGCCGUCCAUACCUCGCUUCUGCAGAAUCAGGUUGUCCAGCAUCUUCUGAAAACGAGCAUCCCAGUAAAAUAAACGACAGAAAAAAACGAACAGAGAAUUUAGGAUCCUGGAAUUUGAGAAGGACAGCUCAGCACAGGGAUCCCCUUAGCACAGUUUCUUCAUACGGCUGUUCAUGUGUCAACCCAUAGGUGAGUGAGGUGGUAAAGGCCAGACCUUGCUAAAACGAGGCAGGAUGCCCUGAGUCCAGUGCCCAGGUUGGAGGGGCAGGUGAGGAUGUUUCCCAGCCUCUCGCUCCACAUGAACUCCCAGCCUUUCUCCAUGAUCAGCCUCUUCACCUGGUGGUGAUGUCAACAACAGCUCAUAAAAAGACACAACAAAGCAUGAAAGGUUUAAGUGUCAUUUAAGACACAGUUAACGUGUGGGUGUAGGCAAUGAAUCCAAUCAGUGAUUCUGCUGGGCUCACCUCCUCAAGUCCCCUGUAGAACCUCUCAAACACCCUCUUCAUGUUGCUGCCCUUCUCCAUCUAGAUGACCCGGGUGUGGUCCUCUUCGUUGAUCCACAACAGGAAGUUCUCCUGGUUGUUGUGCCUUUCCAGACCAACGGGUUAUCUCCAUAGGUUUCAGCGCUUCUAAAAUAGUUUCUGGGGCUAAGCUGCCUGCCAUCCUGGAUCUCUACACCAGGCAGUGUCAGAGGAAGGCCCUAAAAAUUGUCAAAGACCCCAGCCAUCCCAGUCAUUGACUGUUCUCUCUACUACUGCAUGGCAAGCGGUACCGGAGUACCAAGUCUAGGACAAAAAGACUUCUCAACAGUUUUUACCCCCAAGCCAUAAGACUCCUGAACAGGUAAUCAAAUGGCUACCCGGACUUUUUGCAUUGUGCCCCCCCCCCCCAACCCCUCUUUUUAUGCUGCUGCUAGUCUCCGUUUAUCAUAUAUGCAUAGUCACUUUAACCAUAUCUACAUGUACAUACUACCUCAAUCAGCCUGACUAACCGGUGUCUGUAUGUAACCUCGCUACUUUUAUAGCCUCGCUACUGUAUAUAGCCUGUCUUUUUACUGUUGUUUUAUUUCUUUACUUACCUAUUGUUCACCUAACACAUUUUUUGCACUAUUGGUUAGAGCCUGUAAGUAAGCAUUUCACUGUAAGGUUGUAUUCGGCGCACGUGACAAAUAAACUUGGAUUUGAUUAUCUUGUUUGGUUUUAGAGUUGUGCUUUUAUCAAACCAUUAUACUUAUCAAAUGCCCUGUGCCUCUGGCCAAUCUCUGGCCAUUCCUGCACAGGUCAAGAGGGUGGACACUGGUAUAUCGAACAGGAAGUGAUCCUGUGAACUCCAAAAACAAGUGUUAUGCAUCUCAGUGAUAGAAUAAGGAAAUUAAACAAAUAAAAACAAUUCUCCAAAUCAGUGUGUUGCAGACUGUGUUUUCCUCACAUGAAUGAGCAGCUGCUGCUCCUUGUCAGUCAUCUGUACUGUCCCUUGAGUUCCCCCUGCAGGACGUUGAGGGCGUCCACCACCAGCUCCACCUCCCGGCGCUCCGCCCAGCAACAGCCAGGGGGCAGGCUCAGCCCUCAGAUGCUCAGGCCCGUCCACGUGACGAUGACACGUGGUGCUCAUCAAACUGACCUGCCUGGAUCUGACAAGAGACUAUGGUAAGUACUGGCUCACUUGAACAGUUUAGAAUGUAGAUAUGUAGAAGGUCUGGUACCUAGUCAACUGGGUGGUUGAUGCAAUGCCAUUUCUAUACUUAUGUCCAUGGACAUUCCCAUCAUUAUGUACAUUGGUGGCAUCCAGGUCUGUGGUGAGAGAUUGUGUAUAAAUGCAUGGCCUUAAAUAAAUGAAACCUUGGUAACCAACAGUGAUCACAAAGCAAAGGCUUCUGUGUUAUUCUUUCCUUUCAAUACUUCUCCUCUCUACACACAAAAAGGUGGAAUAUUGGGAAACUCUGCUAUUAAGAGUCUGUAGAGCACUUGCCUUCACUUCAAGGCAGAAUUGAAAACUGCAGUUGAUCCCCUUUCAUCUAGGUUUUAUCUGUAUAACACUUUUAUAAGGAAUGGGUGACGCUCCAAUAUGUGUAGUAGCUUUAGAAUAUCUAUUUCACGGUGCCCGCCAUUAGAUUUAAAAAAUACAUUGAAGUUCCAGCAAGAUAGGUAGUAGGCAUACCAAUUCACUGUGAAAAGACACAGACCACACAGGCCGUUGUGAUCCAUCCCCUGAUAGGACUCCUCGUCUCCGGCUACCAUGCCAACAUACUUUAUGAAGGGGUGCCCAGGGUUGUCCAAUCCUGUCUGGAUAACAUUGUCCAUAGGCACACAGCUUAGCAUAGAAAGAAGGUAUGAGGUGACUGGCCUUGCAGUUGCUGUGUUUGCGUAAAUCAGGGAACUCUGCACCGUGAGAGAAAUUGAAGGUUGGUAACACUAUUGAAAUAAGUACAGACAAAAAGGGGGUACAAUGAUAGCACACCCCUAACGAAUGAAUAGGUGUUGGAGGCUGUGGACACCGGGAUAUGUCACUGUCUGUCUGGGAUAACUGGCAGGGUACAGCCUCCUGAUUUGAGCUCCUGUGGUGAUGAGCUCUCUGUUCAGAAAAAACCCUGCUGUAGCAAAUGACCAUACUCCACUAAGAGACAGGACUCCUAUGUUGCGCUUCCUAGGUGAAAACAGCUUGAAGAAACUGCUUGCCAUUUUCCC